Molecule: ribosomal RNA, 433 nt
Filed under: uncultured bacterium
Lineage: Bacteria
Description: partial 16S ribosomal RNA
Rfam family: Bacterial small subunit ribosomal RNA
Source: RNAcentral
AACGAACGCUGGCGGCAUGCCUAACACAUGCAAGUCGAACGAGACCUUCGGGUCUAGUGGCGCACGGGUGCGUAACGCGUGGGAACCUGCCCUUAGGUUCGGAAUAACUCCCGGAAAGGGGUGCUAAUACCGGAUAAUGUCUUCGGACCAAAGAUUUAUCGCCUUUGGAUGGGCCCGCGUUGGAUUAGCUGGUUGGUAGGGUAAAAGCCUACCAAGGCGACGAUCCAUAGCUGGUCUGAGAGGAUGAUCAGCCACACUGGGACUGAGCCACGGCCCAGACUCCUACGGGAGGCAGCAGUGGGGAAUAUUGGACAAUGGGCGAAAGCCUGAUCCAGCACUGCCGCGUGAGUGAUGAAGGCCUUAGGGUUGUAAAGCUCUUUUACCCGGGAUGAUAAUGACAGUACCGGGAGAAUAAGCUCCGGCUAACUCCGUG